GAGGCAUUUUCUCAGCUGAGGUUCCCUCCUUUCCGGUGAUCCUAGUUUGUGCCCAGUUGACAUAAACCAGCCGGCACAGCUACCAUCCUGAGUAACUAUUCAGCUAGCUAACAUGGUUACCACAGUGCCUGACAGGGAGGAAGUCAGAGCCAGAGAUGAGGGAUGCUGACUUCGAGACCGAGAUUUGAACUGACAGAAGCUGAUGGGACAGGAGUGCUGGGGAAGCUGGUUGGUCCCCUUGAAACAUUUCUAGGAUUAAAAACAUAAAAGACUCAUAACCAUG
This 283-nucleotide long non-coding RNA is filed under the name Mus caroli (Ryukyu mouse). RNAcentral describes it as "lncRNA (MGP_CAROLIEiJ_G0004745.1)". Lineage: Eukaryota; Metazoa; Chordata; Mammalia; Rodentia; Muridae. The record is from RNAcentral.